GAAGCUCGCCAGACCGCCGCUGGCGCACCAGCCCGCAAGGGCGCGCUGGAGGAACGUCCGGACUGCACAGGGCAGCGUAGGAGGUAACGCCUCUCCACCGCGAGGUGAGGAUCAGAGCCACAGAGACGAGCCGGUUCAGACCGGGGUGAAACGCGGCAAUCUCUACGCGCAGCAACACCAAGUAGGCCAGCCUGGGGGCAACCCCUGCCUGUGGCCCGCAGGCCGCGCUGGCGGGUAGGUGGCAUCGAGCCGCUCGGGUGACCGGCGGCCCAGAGGAAUGGCGGUCACGCGGGGCUUGCCCCGCGCACAGAAUCCGGCGUACCGGCGGGCUUCACUU
Molecule: RNase P RNA, 337 nt
Filed under: Tepidimonas ignava
Lineage: Bacteria; Pseudomonadati; Pseudomonadota; Betaproteobacteria; Burkholderiales
Description: Bacterial RNase P class A
Rfam family: Bacterial RNase P class A
About the family: Ribonuclease P (RNase P) is a ubiquitous endoribonuclease, found in archaea, bacteria and eukarya as well as chloroplasts and mitochondria. Its best characterised activity is the generation of mature 5'-ends of tRNAs by cleaving the 5'-leader elements of precursor-tRNAs.
Source: RNAcentral